UUAAGUGACUAAGCGUACAAGGUGGAUGCCUUGGCAAUCAGAGGCGACGAAGGACGUGCUAAUCUGCGAAAAGCUUGGAUGAGUCGAUAAGAGGCGUUUAAUCCAAGAUGUCCGAAUGGGGAAACCCAGUAGAUGAAGAAUCUACUAUCACUUACUGAAUCCAUAGGUAAGUGAGGCAAACCGGGAGAACUGAAACAUCUAAGUACCCCGAGGAAAAGAAAUCAACCGAGAUUUCGUUAGUAGCGGCGAGCGAACGCGAAGGAGCCUGUUAGUGAUAAUGACAGAGACAGAGGAACAAGCUGGGAAGCUUGGCGAUACAGGGUGAUAGCCCCGUACUCGAAGUCCAGGUCAUGGUACUAAGCUAACGACAAGUAGGGCGGGACACGUGAUAUCCUGUUUGAAGAUGGGGGGACCAUCCUCCAAGGCUAAAUACUCCUGAUUGACCGAUAGUGAACCAGUACUGUGAAGGAAAGGCGAAAAGAACCCCGGUGAGGGGAGUGAAAUAGAACCUGAAACCUUGUACGUACAAGCAGUGGGAGCCCUUUAAGGGUGACUGCGUACCUUUUGUAUAAUGGGUCAGCGACUUAUAUUUUGUAGCGAGGUUAACCGAAUAGGGGAGCCGAAGGGAAACCGAGUCUUAACUGGGCGUCUAGUUGCAAGGUAUAGACCCGAAACCCGGUGAUCUAGCCAUGGGCAGGUUGAAGGUUGGGUAACACUAACUGGAGGACCGAACCGACUAAUGUUGAAAAAUUAGCGGAUGACUUGUGGCUGGGGGUGAAAGGCCAAUCAAACCGGGAGAUAGCUGGUUCUCCCCGAAAUCUAUUUAGGUAGAGCCUUGAGCGGACACCUUCGGGGGUAGAGCACUGUUUCGGCUAGGGGUCCAUCCCGGAUUACCAACCCGAUGCAAACUACGAAUACCGAAGAGUGAUACUCAGGAGACACACGGCGGGUGCUAACGUCCGUCGUGGAGAGGGAAACAACCCAGACCGCCAGCUAAGGUCCCAAAGUCUAUAUUAAGUGGGAAACGAAGUGGGAAGGCUUAGACAGCUAGGAUGUUGGCUUAGAAGCAGCCAUCAUUUAAAGAAAGCGUAAUAGCUCACUAGUCGAGUCGGCCUGCGCGGAAGAUGUAACGGGGCUCAAAUAUAGCACCGAAGCUGCGGCAUCAGUAGCAAUACUGUUGGGUAGGGGAGCGUUCUGUAAGCGGAUGAAGGUGAAUCGAGAGGUUUGCUGGACGUAUCAGAAGUGCGAAUGCUGACAUAAGUAACGAUAAAACGGGUGAAAAACCCGUUCGCCGGAAGACCAAGGGUUCCUGUCCAACGUUAAUCGGGGCAGGGUGAGUCGGCCCCUAAGGCGAGGCUGAAAAGCGUAGUCGAUGGGAAACGGGUUAAUAUUCCCGUACUUGGAUAAACUGCGAUGUGGGGACGGAGCAGGUUAGGUUAUCGCACUGUUGGAUAUGUGCGUUUAAGUUGGUAGGUGUGAAGUUUAGGCAAAUCCGGACUUCUUUAACACUGAGAGAUGAUGACGAGGCUCUACGGAGCUGAAGUAACCGAUACCACACUUCCAGGAAAAGCCACUAAGCUUCAGGUUUAUCUAAACCGUACUGAAAACCGACACAGGUGGUCAGGUAGAGAAUACUCAGGCGCUUGAGAGAACUCGGGUGAAGGAACUAGGCAAAAUAGCACCGUAACUUCGGGAGAAGGUGCGCCGGCGUAGAUUGUAGUCCCUUGCGGGCGAAGGUUGAACCGGUCGAAGAUACCAGCUGGCUGCAACUGUUUAUUAAAAACACAGCACUCUGCAAACACGAAAGUGGACGUAUAGGGUGUGAUGCCUGCCCGGUGCUGGAAGGUUAAUUGAUGGUGUAAUCGAAAGAGAAGCUCCUGAUCGAAGCCCCAGUAAACGGCGGCCGUAACUAUAACGGUCCUAAGGUAGCGAAAUUCCUUGUCGGGUAAGUUCCGAC
Molecule: ribosomal RNA, 1957 nt
Filed under: human gut metagenome
Description: bacterial LSU rRNA
Rfam family: Bacterial large subunit ribosomal RNA
Source: RNAcentral